UUGUACAGUGAAACUGCGAAUGGCUCAUUAAAUCAGUUAUCGUUUAUUUGAUAGUGCCCAACCACAUGGAUAACCGUGGUAAUUCUAGAGCUAAUACAUGCGACGAACCGCGACUUCGGGAGCGGUGUAUUUAUUAGAUUAAAGACCAACGCCCUUCGGGGCUGUCCGGUGAUUCAUAAUAACUCCUCUGAUCGCACGGCCUUGCGCUGGCGACGGCUCAUUCAAAUUUCUGCCCUAUCAACUUUCGACUUUAGUGUAGUGGACUAAAGUGGUUGCAACGGGUAACGGAGGGUUAGGGCUCGACCCCGGAGAAGGAGCCUGAGAAACGGCUACUACAUCCAAGGAAGGCAGCAGGCGCGCAAAUUACCCAAUCCCGACACGGGGAGGUAGUGACAAUAAAUACUGAUACAGGGCUCUUUCGGGUCUUGUAAUCGGAAUGAGUACAAUUUAAAUCCCUUAACGAGGAACAAUUGGAGGGCAAGUCUGGUGCCAGCAGCCGCGGUAAUUCCAGCUUCAAUAGCGUAUAUUAAAGUUGUUGUGGUUAAAAAGCUCGUAGUUGAACCUGGGCCCCGCGCCCGCCGGUCCGCCUCACCGCGUGCACUGGUGUGGCCGGGGCUUCCACCUGGGGGUACGCAUGCCCUUCGCUGGGCGUGCGGGGAGCCAGGACCUUUACUGUGAAAAAAUUAGAGUGUUCAAAGCAGGCCUAUGCUCGAAUACAUUAGCAUGGAAUAAUAGAAUAGGACGUGCGGUUCUAUUUUGUUGGUUAUGGGACCGCCGUAAUGAUUAAUAGGGACAGUCGGGGGCGUCAGUAUUCGGUGGUCAGAGGUGAAAUUCUUGGACCCACCGAAGACUAACUACUGCGAAAGCAUUCGCCAAGGAUGUUUUCAUUAAUCAGGAACGAAAGUUAGGGGAUCGAAGACGAUCAGAUACCGUCGUAGUCUUAACCAUAAACUAUGCCGACUAGGGAUCGGGCGAUGUUGCUUUCUGACUCGCUCGGCACCUUUCGAGAAAUCAAAGUCUGUGGGUUCCU
This 1030-nucleotide ribosomal RNA is filed under the name Lindra marinera. RNAcentral describes it as "SSU rRNA". It matches the Rfam family "Eukaryotic small subunit ribosomal RNA", at positions 74 to 1116 of the family's 1831-position model. The record is from RNAcentral. Lineage: Eukaryota; Fungi; Ascomycota; Sordariomycetes; Lulworthiales; Lulworthiaceae.